UAGGGAAUCUUCCGCAAUGGGCGAAAGCCUGACGGAGCAACGCCGCGUGAGUGAUGAAGGUCUUCGGAUCGUAAAACUCUGUUAUUAGGGAAGAACAAAUGUGUAAGUAACUAUGCACGUCUUGACGGUACCUAAUCAGAAAGCCACGGCUAACUACGUGCCAGCAGCCGCGGUAAUACGUAGGUGGCAAGCGUUAUCCGGAAUUAUUGGGCGUAAAGCGCGCGUAGGCGGCUUUUUAAGUCUGAUGUGAAAGCCCACGGCUCAACCGUGGAGGGUCAUUGGAAACUGGAAAACUUGAGUGCAGAAGAGGAAAGUGGAAUUCCAUGUGUAGCGGUGAAAUGCGCAGAGAUAUGGAGGAACACCAGUGGCGAAGGCGACUUUCUGGUCUGUAACUGACGCUGAUGUGCGAAAGCGUGGGGAUCAAACAGG
This 429-nucleotide ribosomal RNA is filed under the name Actinomycetes bacterium. RNAcentral describes it as "Actinobacteria bacterium partial 16S ribosomal RNA". It matches the Rfam family "Bacterial small subunit ribosomal RNA", at positions 355 to 776 of the family's 1533-position model. Lineage: Bacteria; Bacillati; Actinomycetota; Actinomycetes. The record is from RNAcentral.